Long non-coding RNA from Nilaparvata lugens (brown planthopper), 146 nucleotides. RefSeq lists it as uncharacterized. The transcript has 3 exons. The record is from RefSeq and is a predicted model, not a curated record. NCBI's taxonomy places the organism in Eukaryota, Metazoa, Arthropoda, Insecta, Hemiptera, Delphacidae.
AAUAGUUGAAUAAAAAAUAGAAUAGAAUAGAAUAUUUUUAUUUCACUUGCUCAUAACAACAAAAAAGUUUUACAUAUCAACUUAAAAAAAAAUGUAGUAGUUCAAAUAAAUUUACAACUGCAUAAUAUCAGAAAAAUACAUAGAAU